Molecule: transfer RNA, 63 nt
Filed under: Urocitellus parryii (Arctic ground squirrel)
Lineage: Eukaryota; Metazoa; Chordata; Mammalia; Rodentia; Sciuridae
Also listed under: 2 other names
Description: Spermophilus parryii (Arctic ground squirrel) tRNA
Source: Rfam by way of RNAcentral
GUAUAUCUCAGUGGUAGAAUGCCUGCCUAAUAUGCAUGUGGCCCUGGGUUUGAACCCCAGUAC